UACGAAGGGGGCUAGCGUUGCUCGGAAUGACUGGGCGUAAAGGGCGCGUAGGCGGUUUGUACAGUCAGGUGUGAAAUUCCCGGGCUCAACCUGGGGGCUGCACUUGAUACGUAUGGACUGGAGUGGGGAAGAGGGUCGUGGAAUUCCCAGUGUAGAGGUGAAAUUCGUAGAUAUUGGGAAGAACACCGGUGGCGAAGGCGGCGACCUGGUCCUUGACUGACGCUGAGGCGCGAAAGCGUGGGAGCAAACAGG
Molecule: ribosomal RNA, 252 nt
Filed under: uncultured bacterium
Lineage: Bacteria
Description: partial 16S ribosomal RNA
Rfam family: Bacterial small subunit ribosomal RNA
Source: RNAcentral